This 200-nucleotide ribosomal RNA is filed under the name uncultured bacterium. RNAcentral's name for it is "partial 16S ribosomal RNA". It matches the Rfam family "Bacterial small subunit ribosomal RNA", at positions 8 to 224 of the family's 1533-position model. The record is from RNAcentral.
AGAGUUUGAUCCUGGCUCAGGAUAAACGCUGGCGGCGUGCCUAACACAUGCAAGUCGAACGCCCUCGGGCAACUGAGGGAGUGGCGGACGGGUGAGUAACGCGUGGGUGACCUACCCCGAAGUGAGGAAUACCGGCGAGAAAUCGCCGACAAUACCGCAUAGCUUUCGAAGAGAAAGAAAGCUCGCAAGAGCGCUUUGGG